AAAAUGGAUGGCGCUGAAGCGUCGUGCUUAUACUCGGCCGUCAGGGCAAGAGAGGCCGGGCUCGUCCCGCCAUGAAGCUCUGACGAGUAGGAGGGUCGCGUCGGUGUGCGCAGAAGGGUCUGGGCGUGAGCCUGCCUGGAGCCGCCGACGGUGCAGAUCUUGGUGGUAGUAGCAAAUACUCCAGAGAGGCCCUGGAGGACUGAUGUGGUAGAAGGGUUUCGUGUGAACAGCCGUUGCACACGAGUCAGUCGAUCCUAAGCCCUAGGAGAAAUCCGAAGUCGAUGUGCGAGUGUGCAGACCGCCGUCGGGCGAAAGGGAAUCCGGUUCCUAUUCCGGAACCCAGCAUCGGAACCGUUCCAAUCGGGCCCUUAAAGCUCGUCAGGGUAACCUAACAUGCCCCGGAGACGCCGUCGGGAGCUGCCGGGAGAGUUAUCUUUUCUGUAUAAGUGCGCACACCCCCUGGAAGCCUCUAGCAGGGAGAUAGGGGGCAGCGCGCGAAGAGCAUCGCACUUGCGGCGAUGUCGGCAGCGUCCUCUCGGACCUUGAAAAUCCGGGUGAGGGCCACGUGGACAUCCGAUCUGGUUCGUACCCAUAUCCGCAGCAGGUCUCCAAGGUGAAUAGCCUCUAGUCGAUACGAUAAUGUAUUCCCACUGUCCCUAUCUACUACGUAGCGAAACCGCUGGCAAGGGAACGGACUUGCAGAAAUCGGUGGGGAAAGAAGACCCUGUUGAGUUUGACUUUAGCUUGAUAUUGUAUAACGACAUGAGAGGCGUAGCAUAAGUGGGAGACCGACGUUGAAAUACCACUACUUUCAUCGUUGUUGUACUUACUCGGUUGGACGGGGCGCGCCCCCGCUUCAAAACCCUUGGGACGGCGGUCGUUCUAGCACCAAGCGUAGAGAUCGGUGUCCGAGUCGCGGUGUCUGAAAACCUCUCGGCGGCAGCCCGCACUAGGCCCGAGCUAUUCCCAGCGUGACCUGAUUCGAGGACAUUAUCAGGCGGGGAGUUUGACUGGGGCGGUACAUCUAUCAAAGAAUAACGUAGGUGUCCUAAGACCAGCUCAGUGAGGACAGAAACCUCGCGUAGAGCAAAAGGGCAAAAGCUGGUUUGAUCCCGAUGUUCAGUACGCACAGGGACUGCGAAAGCAAGGCCUAUCGAUCCUUUUGGCUUGAAGAGUUUUCAGCAAGAGGUGUCAGAAAAAUUACCACAGGGAUAACUGGCUUGUGGCGGCCAAGC
RNAcentral lists this ribosomal RNA (1235 nucleotides) under Thrips sp. JRC-2012. RNAcentral's name for it is "partial 28S ribosomal RNA". It matches the Rfam family "Eukaryotic large subunit ribosomal RNA", at positions 1315 to 2849 of the family's 3401-position model. The record is from RNAcentral. Lineage: Eukaryota; Metazoa; Arthropoda; Insecta; Thysanoptera; Thripidae.